This 684-nucleotide unclassified non-coding RNA is filed under the name Hevea brasiliensis (rubber tree). Lineage: Eukaryota; Viridiplantae; Streptophyta; Magnoliopsida; Malpighiales; Euphorbiaceae. The record is from RNAcentral.
GAAAUUGCGAGUUGUUUUCUUCCUCAGAAACAAGUUGGUGCAACAAUUUUAUCGGAGUCGGAGAUCAACAGGUCAAGUGAUGAUAACAGUGCUACCAAAAAUAAACCUGUUCUUGAGGAGUUAGGUAUUCUAUAUGCUCACCGUAAUGAGGACAUAAUCAAUUGUCGACCUGGCGUCAGAAAGAGCAAGGAAGAAAGCAUCUCAAAAAUUGUUAGCUUGACUGCCCCUGCUAAGAGAAGGAAAUCAGAUGAUGGAGGUGAGAAAGAAAAUGCCUCGUCAUCCAAGGAUCAGAAAAAGAUCCAAUAUAGCCUCCUUGCAGAAUUCAUGGGUAUGGGAGAGGUUGAAUUUAGCAAGUGGGUACUAUCUGCAACUCCUGGAGAAAAGGAGAACGUGCUUCAACAAUUUACGAAGAGAAAGAAGGUACCCAAUGGUUGAAGGAUAGUCUUCUCGCAGAAUGUUAAGAAAAAACUGUAUAGUACAUAUUCUAUUUGUUUUUAACUUUAGCUCUAUGUAUAUCCGAUUCAUUGUAUAGUUACUGUAGUAUUAUAACCCUUCUACUAGCUUGAGAAAUAGGCAUCCAGUGGUGAUUCCAAUGUAAAUGUAUUUCAUCAUAGUUUCAAGCCGUUUAGCUUGUUUGAGUUACAUUUCAUCUUUAUGACUUGAAUUUCUAUAGCUUUUAUAUGA